RNAcentral lists this long non-coding RNA (200 nucleotides) under Vigna radiata. Its description in RNAcentral is "long non-coding RNA (VRAD_LNC004327)". The record is from RNAcentral. Lineage: Eukaryota; Viridiplantae; Streptophyta; Magnoliopsida; Fabales; Fabaceae.
CCGAAUCGAGCUUUAAUAUCUGUUAUCAAACUCUUGAUGGGAAUUGAGGGGUUUGUCCUUACAAAAUUUGAUAUGAUUGUUGCAAUGUGAGUACUAUCAAGAUUUGUAUGAUCUUGAGAUAGUAUGUUAGAGAAACAAGUAUGUUGGCCGUCGAUGUUUUUGAUUUCCCAAUAUUUACGCACUUUGCUAUAGCCUGCCCU